RNAcentral lists this ribosomal RNA (376 nucleotides) under uncultured bacterium. RNAcentral describes it as "bacterial SSU rRNA". It matches the Rfam family "Bacterial small subunit ribosomal RNA", at positions 524 to 898 of the family's 1533-position model. The record is from RNAcentral.
UACGUAGGGGGCAAGCGUUGUCCGGAUUUAUUGGGCGUAAAGAGCGUGUAGGCGGUUAGGUAGGUGGGUUGUGAAAACUGGAGGCUCAACCUUCAGACGUCGACCCAAACCCCCUGGCUAGAGUCCGGAAGAGGAGAGUGGAAUUCCUGGUGUAGCGGUGAAAUGCGCAGAUAUCAGGAAGAACACCCGUGGCGAAGGCGGCUCUCUGGGACGGUACUGACGCUGAGACGCGAAAGCGUGGGGAGCGAACAGGAUUAGAUACCCUGGUAGUCCACACCGUAAACGAUGGGUGCUAGGUGUGGGGGGUGUCGACUCCCCCCGUGCCGAAGCUAACGCAUUAAGCACCCCGCCUGGGGAGUACGGCCGCAAGGCUAAA